Long non-coding RNA from Leopardus geoffroyi (Geoffroy's cat), 243 nucleotides. RefSeq lists it as uncharacterized. The transcript has 3 exons. Lineage: Eukaryota; Metazoa; Chordata; Mammalia; Carnivora; Felidae. The record is from RefSeq and is a predicted model, not a curated record.
AGAAAGGGAGAAGCAGAGGACAUUAUUCCCUGGAAGCGGAAGCACACAAGUGAGCAUAUAUGAGAUUCAUAGCUGCUUUUCGGUGAGAAUUAAGAACAACCACUCGACUUCUGCCAACUGACUCUCUUUCAGGAUCAAUUACUUUUUUUUUCAAAAUGGACACUGAUCAGAAGAAUCAUAAUAUACUUUUCAACACAAACUACUCAAUUCGUUCCAGUCCAAAUUGUCUCAUCCAAAAGAACA